AAUACUUUUAAAACAGUUUUUCUAAGAAAUAAUAAAAGUAAAAUUAUUUUCAAGAGGAUAUUGCUGUUGUUAUAGAUCCUAAUUAAGCAUGAUUUUAUAGUUGCAUUUUAUAUUUGCACUUGCAAGAUUUUGAAAAAGAUUUUGAUAGCAAUAACAUUCUACAUCUUUAGCACUUCAGACCUUCUUUGAUCAACUACACAGAAUAAUAACCAAUUUGUUAAACUCCUACCAAAGACCGUGGAGGAAUUUCCUUUCUUCUGAGAGCUUUGCCAAAUCAAAAAUUUGGCCCUCCAUACAUCAUAGAGCAUUUGACAUUAAGUAGCUCAAUGCGUCACGGCAUGGUAGAGAAUGGCCCACGGACUAGCCACAGAUUGAUUUACAGAGACAUAAGGCAGUAAAUCACCAGCCAGAGGGCAAGAUCGCCUCACAGGGCUCAAAUAACAGGCCAGUAGCCAAAAAGUCGUGUGAGUAAUCUAUCAAGACCUGUUACAGUCAGACGCAAGGGGGUAUGGGGCUCUACAACCUCAGUUGUGUCCCUGAAACACCAGUGCUGUUGUCACAUUGAUGUACAGAGACCAGCUCCCAUCACAGACCAUGUAACCCUUUUUUAUCAUUGAGAGAAUGAACAUCCUUUAAGACCAGGUGGAAUUCUGAACUUUCACUUAGAAUCGAGGAACAAGGCCUGAACAAAUAUAUUCUUUGGCUGAAGUAGGAGUUAAACUGUCAAACCGUGCAUUACUAAACUUGGGAUAUAGAUGAAAUUUACCAACUCCAACAUUUAUGUGAGGUACAUUUGUAUAAAGGUAAUCACUUGCUUGCUUAAGAAGCCAUAGAUCAAAUUAAAGUGACCUAAAAGCUCUCAUAAACAUGUUUACAAAAGUUCCAGAUGCUCUGCCAAUCCUCAGCCAUUGUAAUGCACUGCACUGAUAACACAAUUCCAGGAAAUAAACACAACUGAACAAACGUAUAAUAUGCACAAUAACAACUGAAAAAAGCUGAUGGA
Carassius carassius (crucian carp) is the source of this 1003-nucleotide long non-coding RNA. RefSeq lists it as uncharacterized. The record is from RefSeq and is a predicted model, not a curated record. The transcript is spliced from 2 exons. Lineage: Eukaryota; Metazoa; Chordata; Actinopteri; Cypriniformes; Cyprinidae.